UUUAUACUCCCUCCGUCCGGAAAUACUUGUCCUAAAGAUGAAUGUAUGUAGAUUUAUUUUAGUUAUAGAUACAUUCAUUAUAUCCAUUUCUAGGACAAGUAUUUCCGGACGGAGGGAGUAUGAA
This 124-nucleotide microRNA precursor is filed under the name Hordeum vulgare. RNAcentral describes it as "microRNA MIR1122". It matches the Rfam family "MIR1120/MIR1122 microRNA precursor family". The record is from RNAcentral. Lineage: Eukaryota; Viridiplantae; Streptophyta; Magnoliopsida; Poales; Poaceae.